UUAAGUUCAGCGGGUAGUCUUGCCUGAUUUGAGCUCAAGGUGUCAGAUACCGCUGAGGGUAUGAUACACAUGUCCUUUAGAGACGCAUCCACACGACCGACUAAUAAACUGGAGUAUUAUCGAGCCACAAGUGUUGAGCACUCUAGAGGCCAGCUUGAUGCAUUUCAGGCGGUCGUUGCCGAGUCGCCCAGAUCCAUAGA
This 200-nucleotide unclassified non-coding RNA is filed under the name Ascomycota sp. RNAcentral's name for it is "partial internal transcribed spacer 2". Lineage: Eukaryota; Fungi; Ascomycota. The record is from RNAcentral.